UGUGACUGACCUCUCAUCCCUUAUGUCCUG
This 30-nucleotide non-coding RNA is filed under the name Rattus norvegicus (Norway rat). Lineage: Eukaryota; Metazoa; Chordata; Mammalia; Rodentia; Muridae. The record is from RNAcentral.